This 468-nucleotide ribosomal RNA is filed under the name uncultured bacterium. RNAcentral's name for it is "partial 16S ribosomal RNA". It matches the Rfam family "Bacterial small subunit ribosomal RNA", at positions 28 to 507 of the family's 1533-position model. The record is from RNAcentral.
GACGAACGCUGGCGGCGUGCUUAACACAUGCAAGUCGAACGGAAAGGCCCUGCUUUUGUGGGGUGCUCGAGUGGCGAACGGGUGAGUAACACGUGAGUAACCUGCCCUUGACUUUGGGAUAACUUCAGGAAACUGGGGCUAAUACCGGAUAGGAGCUCCUGCUGCAUGGUGGGGGUUGGAAAGUUUCGGCGGUUGGGGAUGGACGCGCGGCUUAUCAGCUUGUUGGUGGGGUAGUGGCUUACCAAGGCAUUGACGGGUAGCCGGCCGGAGAGGGUGACCGGCUACAUUGGGACUGAGAUACGGCCCAGACUCCUACGGGAGGCAGCAGUGGGAAAUAUAGCACAAUGGGCGGAAGCCUGAUGCAGCAACGCCGCGUGCGGGAUGACGGCCUUCGGGUUGUAAACCGCUUUCGCCUGUGACGAAGCGUGAGUGACGGUAAUGGGUAAAGAAGCACCGGCUAACUACGUG